This 1342-nucleotide ribosomal RNA is filed under the name uncultured Clostridium sp. RNAcentral's name for it is "partial 16S ribosomal RNA". It matches the Rfam family "Bacterial small subunit ribosomal RNA", at positions 38 to 1046 of the family's 1533-position model. Lineage: Bacteria; Bacillati; Bacillota; Clostridia; Eubacteriales; Clostridiaceae. The record is from RNAcentral.
GGGGGGGUCCCUAAUCAUGCAGCUCGAGCGAUGAAGCUUCUUCGGAAGUAGAUUAGCGGCGGACGGGUGAGUAACACGUGUGCAACCUGCCUCAUAGAGAGGGAUAGCCUUUCGAAAGGAAGAUUAAUACCUCAUAAGAUUGUAGUUUCGCAUGAAACGGCAAUAAAAGGAGCAAUCCGCUAUGAGAUGGGCCCGCGUCGCAUUAGCUAGUUGGUAAGGUAAUGGCUUACCAAGGCGACGAUGCGUAGCCGACCUGAGAGGGUGAUCGGCCACAUUGGGACUGAGACACGGCCCAGACUCCUACGGGAGGCAGCAGUGGGGAAUAUUGCACAAUGGGGGAAACCCUGAUGCAGCAACGCCGCGUGAGUGAUGAAGGUCUUCGGAUUGUAAAACUCUGUCUUUGGGGACGAUAAUGACGGUACCCAAGGAGGAAGCCACGGCUAACUACGUGCCAGCAGCCGCGGUAAUACGUAGGUGGCAAGCGUUGUCCGGAUUUACUGGGCGUAAAGGGAGCGUAGGUGGAUAUUUAAGUGGGAUGUGAAAUACUCGGGCUUAACCUGAGUGCUGCAUUCCAAACUGGAUAUCUAGAGUGCAGGAGAGGAAAGUGGAAUUCCUAGUGUAGCGGUGAAAUGCGUAGAUAUUACGAAGAACACCAGUGGCGAAGGCGACUUUCAGGACUGUACUGACACUGAGGCUCGAAAGCGUGGGGAGCGAACAGGAUUAGAUACCUUGGUACUACACGCCGUAAACGAUGAAUACUAGCUGUUUGGACUUCGGUCUGGGUGGCUAAGCGAAAGUGAUAAGUAUCCCCCUGGGGAGUACGUUCGUAAGAAUGAAACUCAAAGGAAUUGACGGGGGCCAUCACAAGCGUUGGAGCAUGAGGUUUAAUUCGAUGAUACGCGGAGGAACCUUGCCAGGGCUUAAAUGUAGUCUGACAGGACUGGAAACAGUUUUUUCUUCGAACAGAUUACAUCGUGCUGCAUUAAGGCAAUUUAGCAUUGGAACUGCCGAAUUUGCGAUGCAUGUUACUAACCACGAAUGAUCGCUGAUUGAUCGAAAGCCUGGCUAGCGAACAGGAUUAGAUAGCCAUGGUAGUGACGCCGUAAACGAUGGAUACUAGCUGUUUGGACUUCGGUCUGAGUGGCUAAGCGAAAAGUGAUAAGUAUCCCACCUGGGGAGUACGUUCGCAAGAAUGAAACUCAAAGGAAUUGACGGGGGCCCGCACAAGCGGUGGAGCAUGUGGUUUAAUUCGAUGAUACGCGAGGAACCUUACCAGGGCUUAAAUGUAGUCUGACAGGACUGGAAACAGUUUUUUCUUCGGACAGAUUACAAGGUGCUGCAU